AACGAACGCUGGCGGCAUGCCUAACACAUGCAAGUCGAACGAGACCUUCGGGUCUAGUGGCGCACGGGUGCGUAACGCGUGGGAACCUGCCCUUAGGUUCGGAAUAACUCCCCGAAAGGGGUGCUAAUACCGGAUAAUGUCUUCGGACCAAAGAUUUAUCGCCUUUGGAUGGGCCCGCGUUGGAUUAGCUAGUUGGUAGGGUAAAAGCCUACCAAGGCGACGAUCCAUAGCUGGUCUGAGAGGAUGAUCAGCCACACUGGGACUGAGAAACGGCCCAGACUCCUACGGGAGGGAGCAAUGGGGGAUAUUGGAAAAUGGGCGAAAGCCUGAUCCAGCAAUGCCGCGUGAGUGAUGAAGGCCUUAGGGUUGUAAAGCUCUUUUACCCGGGAUGAUAAUGACGGUACCGGGAGAAUAAGCUCCGGCUAACUCCGUG
This 433-nucleotide ribosomal RNA is filed under the name uncultured bacterium. Its description in RNAcentral is "partial 16S ribosomal RNA". It matches the Rfam family "Bacterial small subunit ribosomal RNA", at positions 29 to 507 of the family's 1533-position model. The record is from RNAcentral.